UAAGUGGUGGAAAUUAAACCAAAUGGGAUAUCUUUAGUAAUUGCGAAUGAACAAGGAUAUGCUUAGCUUGACAAAUGGAGCUAUUGGCUUUGAAUUGUAUUGUGGAAAUGUAUUACCAACAGAGGUGCAGGUGCCAGCCUAUUGAAAUAAAGCGUCAAUGAGGGUGAGAAUCCUGUUUGUCAUGUGCAGCCCUUUGUGCACGGUGUAUAUUUGCUGAGUCACACUCCUUGGCAUUGGAAUGCAAAGUGGGUGGUAAGUUUCAUGUAAAGGUAAACAUGCAAUUGAGACUGAUAGCACGCAAGUACCAUGAGGGAAAUAUGAAAAGGACUUUGAAAAGAGAAUUAAAUGAGUUUGUAUUUGCUGAACACAAAGUAAACAGACUUGAUUUGCUUGGUGGGAGUGUUGCACUUGCUUGACAAGAGCUUUGGGCUGUGGGUGUAAUGAUUCUUUCUUUGCAUGCCAGUUUCUAUUUGUACAUCUGAUUACCUUCGCACAUGAAUGAUAAGUCUCCUGUGGGGGGUGGAUUGCAUGCGCAUGUAAUGAUUUGUGUUUUGAUAAAUGUGUCUGGUGUAUGUGUGUGUGUUCCUGUGCUUGGGGAUGCUUCCUUCCUUGGACUUACAAGCCCUGACACACACAUGCUGGCAAAAUGCUUCUGCUUGACCCG
Molecule: ribosomal RNA, 664 nt
Filed under: Alexandrium tamarense
Lineage: Eukaryota; Dinophyceae; Gonyaulacales; Pyrocystaceae
Description: LSU rRNA
Rfam family: Eukaryotic large subunit ribosomal RNA
Source: RNAcentral